This 30-nucleotide non-coding RNA is filed under the name Rattus norvegicus (Norway rat). The record is from RNAcentral. Lineage: Eukaryota; Metazoa; Chordata; Mammalia; Rodentia; Muridae.
UUUAUUGAUCUAUUUUAUUUCAUUUGGUUC